UUCACUUCAGCGGCAUCUAUACUAAAAUUGGAAGCAUAUAGAGAAGAUUAGCAUGGCCCCAUACAAGGAUGAAAGGCAAAUUUGUGAAGCAUUGCAUAUUUUU
Molecule: small nuclear RNA, 103 nt
Filed under: Moschus moschiferus (Siberian musk deer)
Lineage: Eukaryota; Metazoa; Chordata; Mammalia; Artiodactyla; Moschidae
Source: RNAcentral